GUGCACGACACACCCAUAAAUAAGACUCUACUAGACACGGCUUGUAGACUCCCUAGGACAGGACUGCUCUGAUACCACUUUUGUCACGACCCAAACCGAUGGGCCGCGACGGGCACACGGUACCUUACUCAACCGAGUACCAACGUAGCAUAUCUUUCUUAUUACAUUAUCAUAUACACAUCACAUACGGGCCUAAUAGGGCAACAUGAUCUUUUAUAAACUCAAAACAUAGGCCGACAAGGCCGUACAAUCUUUCACAUACACGACAUAUGUCUACAAGCCUCUAAGAAUACAUAAAUAUCAUAAUAGUCGGGAUAGAGUCCCGCCAUACCAAACAAUACACGUCUAAAUCAUACUAACCAAACAAGCAACUCCGAAGCAAAUGGAGCGCACCAACAUCUUCUGCUGAGCUGAUAGCCUACUUGGAGGGCUCUCGACCUGUCUAUCGGGACCUGCGGGCAUGAAACGCAGCGUCCUCAGGCAAAAAGGACGUCAGUACAAAUAAUGUACCGAGUAUGUAAGGCAUAUAAAUAAGUACAUAAGAGACAUGGAAGAAAUAUAGAGUACAUGACUCAUCCUGUAAGUCUGAAUAACUUUGUAAAUCAUAAAUUACUUUUAGCGUCAUGCAUAUGCAUAUGAAUGUCAUGUCAUGCAUAGGUACACAUUUCAUAACAUCAUCAGCCUCUAAGGGCAUCCCAUCAUAUAAUAUCGGCCACUGUGGGCAAAGUAAUAAUCGUAUACCAGCUGAUCAGGUGAUGGUGCGUAUAUAAUGCCAUAACUAUUCCCAUAUCCCAUAUACAUAUAUAUACAUACAUAUAUACGCGUAUAUAAUGCCGUUUGAAUACAUACAUACAUAUGCGUAUAUAACGCCAUUUGAAUACAUACCCAUAUAUGCGUAUAUAACGUCGUUUGAAUCAUAUUUCAGCCACUGUGGGCAACAUCAUCACCAUAUACCAGCUGAUCAGGUGGUGGUGUGUAUAUAACGCCAUAACCUUUUCCCAUAUCCCGUAUACAUAUAUACGCGUAUAUAAUGCAAUCUGGUCAUGGGUCAAUGCACAUGAAUACAAUGCAUAAACAGUACGUCAAUAAAAUCAUUCGGAAUGUCAUAAGACCAUCUUGACUUUGAGUAAUAUCAUAAAGUAAACUCUUUUCAACUUUCGUAUUUUUCUGAGACCCAUGAACAAAUGAUAAGAUAUUAUAACACAUGAAAAUUCAAGAACAUAGAUGUCUCGAAUACUUCUAUGAAUAGAGUCAUUCAUGGAAUUAGUGCAUUUGCACGUUGCCAAAAGAAAGAAGGAAUAGUCUUAACAUACCUGGCCACAAACUGAUUGGCUUUCUAUUUGAAGAACCUACAUCAAUGCAUAUAUAGCUAUUCAAAGGGUAACAUAAAUGCGCACUGUAAGUUUGCAAUAGGUCAAGCGUUCUUUCAUACAGUAGGUUUCUACCGUUGGUCUCUUUCAGGUAACCCCUUUUCACACAAUUUUUGUAAGUGAACCUUCGGCAAUUUAAGCUUUUACCUUCAUCAUAAGAAAA
RNAcentral lists this long non-coding RNA (1533 nucleotides) under Nicotiana tabacum (common tobacco). RNAcentral's name for it is "long non-coding RNA (NTAB_LNC006781)". Lineage: Eukaryota; Viridiplantae; Streptophyta; Magnoliopsida; Solanales; Solanaceae. The record is from RNAcentral.